RNAcentral lists this non-coding RNA (26 nucleotides) under Rattus norvegicus (Norway rat). The record is from RNAcentral. Lineage: Eukaryota; Metazoa; Chordata; Mammalia; Rodentia; Muridae.
UAAUUAGAAGUGAGGGGAAACUAAUC